CUUUCAUCGGGCCGCAGGGCCACCUCUUCCAGGAUGGAGACUGGGUCUCUCAAGUUCUUCGAGGGCAAGGCCCACCCCAGGGGAACAGGUGACCAAGGCCCCUGCCAAGCAGGCAGAACCAGCCAGGAGUCCCGAGAGGCAGCCUGAGGGGGACCGGCGGCUCCAGAGAUCCUCACCGUGCCCUAGGACAUCAGCGAGGCCCCCUGAGAGGGAGCUGCGGAAGAGGACGGAGAGAGCUCUGGGGAGGGGCCAAGGAGGCCCAAGGCAACCGCCGGGCGGGUGGCAGAGUCAGGAGGAGCUGCCAGGGCCCCAGGGCCCUCACAGAGGCCUGGAAAGGAGCUGGAGCAGCCAGGAGGAGGGCCCGGGCCCUGGAGGCUGGCCAGCACUUGGGGAGCCCAGCCUGGGGGCGGCCAGAGCCCUGGAGGAUGCAUGGCGAGGCCCUCCCAGGGAGCGCAGGGAGAGCUGGGGGCAGCCUGAGGCCUGGGAGGAGCCCCCCAGUAAUGGGCUACAGGAGCACCCCCAGAAGCCGGCCCCAAGGGGCUGGGGCAGCCUGCAGGAGCUGUUCAGUACACCCCAACCUGGAAGCCCCUCAGAGCACUCCUGGGUAGGCCCGGCAGAACCCUCUUAUCCUCAGCGGCCUGAGACGCCCACCUCCAUGGGCUGGGGCCCUGAGAGGACCCCUGAGCUGGACUGGAGGGACCUGCUGGGCCUCUUCCGGGCCCCUGGGGAGGGGGCCUGGGCCCGACUCCCUAGACUGGACUGGGAAGGCCUCCUGGAGCUCCUGCAGGCCAGGCUACCCCACAAGGACCCAGCUGGACACUGGGGUGACCCAGCCAAGGCUUCAGGGCCACAGCCAGGUCCCCCAGAGACAAAGGAGGAUGCCCUGGAGCAGGAGCGACACAACCAGCCUGAAAGUUGGGCUGAGGCCACUGUCACCAAUGGACAUAGCCCUGGGCAGCAGCCCCAGCACCCUGCCCAGCUACCCAGCCCCGCCUGCACCUCCACCCAGUGGCCAAAGACACAAGUGACAAGUGGGCCAGCAACCUCACCUCCGUCUGCUCCGCCACACACAGCCCAGCUGGAGCACAGCAGGCCGGCAGAGGGCCCCAGCUCCCCGGAGCCAGAGGUAAGCUGCCUUUGCCUCAGAGGGGUAGCCAGAAAGCCAGCUCCAUCCCAGCAAUUAUCCUUAGAAAGGCUCCCUGAGAUGUGACCCCAGCCCCUGCACCCCGUCCCAAAGCCCAGCCCUGCCUGUGUCAUUCUGACCACUGCACGGGACAGCGGUGUGUGCACCUGCU
RNAcentral lists this long non-coding RNA (1295 nucleotides) under Chinchilla lanigera (long-tailed chinchilla). Its description in RNAcentral is "lncRNA (ENSCLAG00000025315.1)". Lineage: Eukaryota; Metazoa; Chordata; Mammalia; Rodentia; Chinchillidae. The record is from RNAcentral.